RNAcentral lists this small RNA (656 nucleotides) under Pan troglodytes (chimpanzee). RNAcentral's name for it is "processed transcript". Lineage: Eukaryota; Metazoa; Chordata; Mammalia; Primates; Hominidae. The record is from RNAcentral.
GUAACCGCGAGUUCCACUUGCAGUGGCUUUGCCCGGAGCCCCCGUGCACCUGCGGACCGGGGGAAAGUGCGAGUUGCAAACCUUCUGGAAGGAGGAAUCCCUCGGACAGCCGCGCACCAGGGUCCCGGGCCCGGCCCCGGGACCCUGGACUUUCACUUUGAGACUUGGUUGCAUUUACAGGAAUUCUUCGCCCAGUAAACCUCUCUUUCGAACCUAAAGGCAGACCCAGAAGAGCUUUUUACAAAACUAGAGAAAAUUGGGAAGGGCUCCUUUGGAGAGGUGUUCAAAGGCAUUGACAAUCGUACUCAGAAAGUGGUUGCCAUAAAGAUCAUUGAUCUGGAAGAAGCUGAAGAUGAGAUAGAGGACAUUCAACAAGAAAUCACAGUGCUGAGUCAGUGUGACAGUCCAUAUGUAACCAAAUAUUAUGGAUCCUAUCUGAAGUCUGUGAACAGGAGCUCUUGUGAGUCUCACCAGCGCUAGUCACAUUCCUCAAGCUUGACCAUCCCUUUGAGAACUGAUGAAACAGCUUUGAAAUUGGCAAAGCUGAAGAAUGGACUUCAAAGCAGAGAAGGUGUGAAUUGUUUUAAGUGGGAGCUUCAUGGGAAUAAAAUAUGAGGCGUGGCCCUGAAGGGACCUUGGGGCCAGCUUGCGGUAAG